Molecule: long non-coding RNA, 338 nt
Organism: Culex quinquefasciatus (southern house mosquito)
Lineage: Eukaryota; Metazoa; Arthropoda; Insecta; Diptera; Culicidae
Exons: 3
Source: RefSeq, a predicted model, not a curated record
UCUACUGAGGGUUCUAGGACUUCGACUCGGUCACUUUUACCCUGAUCGUGGAGGAAGCAGGAGUGGUCGAAGGACCGUUUUGGAAUCGUUUGAGUUAGAGCUCGCGGCUAGUAGGAGUUAGGAGUAGGGUAGUGGCAGAUUAAAGGGCGAAACCCUGACACUCCAGGUGGCAACCGGCAUCAUCCGUAGCAGAGAGACCACUCCAACCGUCAACCCAGCGCUUCUGGACUCCAUCAAGGGGUCAAAGUUCCGGGGUGAACCCCCAAGCAGCUCGUCCGUCAACAUACGAGCUGGGCGGCGUCCGUCAACACACGCCGUGGUCGAACCCUCGACAACCA